Molecule: ribosomal RNA, 440 nt
Filed under: uncultured bacterium
Lineage: Bacteria
Description: partial 16S ribosomal RNA
Rfam family: Bacterial small subunit ribosomal RNA
Source: RNAcentral
CCUACGGGGUGCAGCAGUAGGGAAUAUUGCUCAAUGGGGGAAACCCUGAAGCAGCAACGCCGCGUGGAGGAUGAAGGUUUUCGGAUUGUAAACUCCUUUUGUUAGAGAAGAUAAUGACGGUAUCUAACGAAUAAGCACCGGCUAACUCCGUGCCAGCAGCCGCGGUAAUACGGAGGGUGCAAGCGUUACUCGGAAUCACGGGGCGUAAAGAGCGCGUAGGCGGGAUAGCAAGUCAGAUGUGAAAUCCUAUGGCUUAACCAUAGAACUGCAUUUGAAACUGUUAUUCUAGAGGAUGGGAGAGGUAGGUGGAAUUCUUGGUGUAGGGGUAAAAUCCGUAGAGAUCAAGAGGAAUACUCAUUGCGAAGGCGAGCUGCUAGAACAUAACUGACGCUGAUGCGCGAAAGCGUGGGGAGCAAACAGGAUUAGAUACCCGGGUAGUC